UGAGGAAUAUUGGUCAAUGGCCGAAGGGCUGAACCAGCCAAGCCGCGUGAAGGAUUAAGGCCCUACGGGUCGUAAACUUCUUUAGUCAGGGAACAAAGGGCGCCACGUGUGGCGCUGUGAGUGUACCUGAAGAAUAAGCAUCGGCUAACUCCGUGCCAGCAGCCGCGGUAAUACGGAGGAUGCGAGCGUUAUCCGGAUUUAUUGGGUUUAAAGGGUGCGUAGGCGGUUUGUCAAGUCAGCGGUAAAAAUUCCGGGCUCAACCCGGUCCCGCCGUUGAAACUGGCGAACUCGAGAGGGAGAGAAGUAGGCGGAAUGCGCAGUGUAGCGGUGAAAUGCAUAGAUAUUGCGCAGAACUCCGAUUGCGAAGGCAGCCUACCGGCUCCUGUCUGACGCUGAGGCACGAAAGCGUGGGUAUCGAACAGG
Molecule: ribosomal RNA, 423 nt
Filed under: uncultured bacterium
Lineage: Bacteria
Description: bacterial SSU rRNA
Rfam family: Bacterial small subunit ribosomal RNA
Source: RNAcentral